UUUAAUUUUUGACUUUUCGUCUUAUUCAAAAAAAAUUUGCGAUUGAUAUUUUUGUUUUUAUUAGAUAAUAAAUUAUAAAUAGUACUUUACGUGUGACUAAUUUUUUUCUAAUUUUUUAAAUUUUUUUAAAUAAGACGGAUGGUCAAACGUUGAACACGAAAA
This 162-nucleotide microRNA precursor is filed under the name Oryza brachyantha (malo sina). RNAcentral's name for it is "MIR812 microRNA precursor family". It matches the Rfam family "MIR812 microRNA precursor family", at positions 27 to 187 of the family's 205-position model. The record is from Rfam by way of RNAcentral. Lineage: Eukaryota; Viridiplantae; Streptophyta; Magnoliopsida; Poales; Poaceae.